UCUGGUGAUUAUGGCCUGAAGGUAACAUUCGUUCCCAUACUGAACAAGUCGGUUAAGCGUCAAUGCAAACAUGGUACUUCAGGGGUGACCUUUUGGAAGAGUAGGUUGUCGUUAGGU
This 117-nucleotide ribosomal RNA is filed under the name Clostridium estertheticum. The record is from RNAcentral. Lineage: Bacteria; Bacillati; Bacillota; Clostridia; Eubacteriales; Clostridiaceae.